Molecule: long non-coding RNA, 1550 nt
Organism: Capsicum annuum
Lineage: Eukaryota; Viridiplantae; Streptophyta; Magnoliopsida; Solanales; Solanaceae
Exons: 6
Source: RefSeq, a predicted model, not a curated record
CGAGUUUCCCUCUCAAUUUUUUUUACAUCUUUUCAUUUCCCUCAAAACAGACAAAAGUGAAAAACCCAACAUUUCCCUCAAUUUCUGUUCUUCUUCUUCAGCAGUACCUUUAUCUCACUCUUAUUCAGCAAUAGGGUUUAUCUCAAGUACUCGAUCUCAAGCAUUCAUCUCAAUUUCUAUUCUUCUUCUUAACUUGUUGAGGGUCGUGGAACUAUUGCUACUGGCCGUGUUGAAUAGGGAACAAUAAAAGUUGGAGAAGAUGUGGAGAUUUUAGGAUUGAUGCAGGUUGGUCUCUAAAUGUCCAUUGAGCCAUAUAUUUUUUGAACCAAGAAUCAGUGAAGGUGGAUUCAGAUGGAAAGCAAAUGCCUCCUGUGAUGUUUCCCGUUAAGAAGUGGAAUCAAGAUAGCAUCUUCAUUGAUAAACGCGACAUAUUUAGACACUUUGAUCACAAAAAAAUUUCACGAAAAAGAUGUGGUUCUUUAACGGGUAGAGGAUGGAAAUAUGGAUCUGGUUUUGUUGAUGGUAUAUUCCCAGUGCUAAGCCCAAUUGCUCAGCAAAUUCUUACUUUCAUAGAGAAGGAAAAAUAUCUAGAGAGGAUUUGGUCUUCCUUGGAUAGUCUACAUCCCACCAAUCACACCUGGGAUGAUUUGAUUAAUGUAGCAGUUCAACUUUGAAUCAACAAACAAUGGAAUCUGAUCAUACUGAUGUGUGAAUGGAUACUGUGUAGGAGUUCCUUUCUGGCAGAUAUGAUUUGCUACAAUUUGCUUAUUGAAGCUUAUGGGCAGAGUUCACUUGUCAAGAAAGCAGAAUCUACUUAUCUGGCACUUCUUGAUGCUCGAUGUGUCCCAACUGAAGAUACUUCUGCACUUCUUCUGAAAUCUUAUUCCAAAUGUGGGAUGCUAGAGAAGGCUGAAGCUGACUUCUCUGUUAUGCGAAAAAAUGGCCUUCCUCCAAGAUAAAAUGGAGGUUGUCAUAGCUGUUUCUCUUUCGGGAUCAACAGAUGAUUCAUCAGAAGAUCAAGAACUCGAUAUAAAUCACAUAUACUUUGAUGUUGUGGUUGGAGCAAAAAAAGAAUGUGUGUAUGGAUUGGACUCUCAAGCUUCAACCUUGUAUAAAGAUAUGACAUGAAUUUCCCUGUAGUGUCUGAUCAUGUUGCCGAAGAGCACAUCAAAAUACUAGAGAAAGAGGUGUCGUUUAUGAGAGAAAAUCAAGAGAGAGUUCUUCAAGAGCGUUUAGAGUUGGAGGUGCAACAACGAGUAGAGCAAGAGGUUUUCCGUUUGAGGCAACAAAGUGAUGAUCGAUUCAAAUCUAUGGAGGAGCAAUGGUCUCGCAUGAUGAGCGAUAUGACAUUAUCUUCUCGCUCAUUUAGUAAUUCUACUCUCCCUAAUAGGGACUCAUCUAAUGCUUAAGUGUUUAAUAUUUUGAGACUUUAGUUACUUGAAGUGUUGACUUGAACAUUGUCAUACUUUUUUGGAUAGUUGUAUGCUUUAAAUUUUAAACAUUGGUAGACUUUUGCUUAUUGAAGCUGUGAUUUUGCAUGUUUUAAUCAA